ACGCAGUGAUGACAGUCUUUCCAUGCCAUUCGUAGUUUCCACCAGAGGUUGAAAAACCAAAGAUGGCCCCAAAUACCUUCCUUGGAUGUCUGAGCGA
This is a small nucleolar RNA of 97 nucleotides. Its record names the gene SNORD14. It matches the Rfam family "Small nucleolar RNA SNORD14". From Rfam's summary of the family: U14 small nucleolar RNA (U14 snoRNA) is required for early cleavages of eukaryotic precursor rRNAs. In yeasts, this molecule possess a stem-loop region (known as the Y-domain) which is essential for function. The record is from Ensembl.